GAGCGAACUGAUUAGAAGCUUGCUUCUAUGACGUUAGCGGCGGACGGGUGAGUAACACGUGGGCAACCUGCCUGUAAGACUGGGAUAACUUCGGGAAACCGAAGCUAAUACCGGAUAGGAUCUUCUCCUUCAUGGGAGAUGAUUGAAAGAUGGUUUCGGCUAUCACUUACAGAUGGGCCCGCGGUGCAUUAGCUAGUUGGUGAGGUAACGGCUCACCAAGGCAACGAUGCAUAGCCGACCUGAGAGGGUGAUCGGCCACACUGGGACUGAGACACGGCCCAGACUCCUACGGGAGGCAGCAGUAGGGAAUCUUCCGCAAUGGACGAAAGUCUGACGGAGCAACGCCGCGUGAGUGAUGAAGGCUUUCGGGUCGUAAAACUCUGUUGUUAGGGAAGAACAAGUACGAGAGUAACUGCUCGUACCUUGACGGUACCUAACCAGAAAGCCACGGCUAACUACGUGCCAGCAGCCGCGGUAAUACGUAGGUGGCAAGCGUUAUCCGGAAUUAUUGGGCGUAAAGCGCGCGCAGGCGGUUUCUUAAGUCUGAUGUGAAAGCCCACGGCUCAACCGUGGAGGGUCAUUGGAAACUGGGGAACUUGAGUGCAGAAGAGAAAAGCGGAAUUCCACGUGUAGCGGUGAAAUGCGUAGAGAUGUGGAGGAACACCAGUGGCGAAGGCGGCUUUUUGGUCUGUAACUGACGCUGAGG
This 706-nucleotide ribosomal RNA is filed under the name Bacillus sp. FJAT-4621. RNAcentral describes it as "bacterial SSU rRNA". It matches the Rfam family "Bacterial small subunit ribosomal RNA", at positions 64 to 751 of the family's 1533-position model. The record is from RNAcentral. Lineage: Bacteria; Bacillati; Bacillota; Bacilli; Caryophanales; Bacillaceae.